This is an RNA transcript of Vespa mandarinia (Asian giant hornet), 6084 nucleotides long. It is a transcript of the gene named exportin-1 emb, with no coding region annotated. The record is from RefSeq and is a predicted model, not a curated record. Lineage: Eukaryota; Metazoa; Arthropoda; Insecta; Hymenoptera; Vespidae.
GCAUACUUUUCAGCCAUCUUGUUAUUUUCGAAAAUCUUGAGGUUGGGUUUCGGCGACAACGCAGUGUGGCCGUUUUUCUUGUUUCUCGCUAUGAGUGAGUGAAAAAAGGAGUGUACUCCGUUUUGGAAUUCAUGAAACGAAGGUACGAUGAGUUUAAGGUUUCGCGUGGACGAUCGGAUACCUUCAACGAUGAAUGCCACCUUUCCUCGUUGAUGAACAUCGCAAAUGUAGCAAAAACGGAUGAGGAAUGAGCGAGAGAGAGAGAGCGAGAGAAAGAGAGAGCGAGAGAGAGAGAAAGACGUGCGAACGAACGAAGCGAGAGAGUAUAGUGCGAGAGAAAGAGCGCGAGAGGGGAGGGGUGUUCGGAGGUAGGGGGUGCUGUGUGGGACAGAGAAGAAAUGAUAAAAAGGCGGUGAGGAACGGCGAGUGUGUGAAACGAAGAACAAAAUUGUUCGCGCGCGGGAAUCAGCAGCGGUGUGUUUAAUCCUUUUGUGCUUGUGAUUUGCACGAAAAGGUCGUGAUUACCAGUGCGGAACGUGUGUUUUAUACCGCCGAAUUGAGAAUCUGCGUAUGAGAGUCAUUGAUAUAAAGUGUAUGAAAGGAAGAAAAUUUGUAGUACGGAAUGGCAACUUUGGCAGAGCAAGCGUCCAAGCUAUUGGACUUUAACCAGAAGUUAGAUAUAACGCUUCUUGAUAAUAUAGUAGGAUGUAUGUACACUGGAAUAGGGGAGCAACAAAGGGUUGCUCAGGAGGUAUUAACUACCCUUAAGGAACAUCCAAACGCAUGGACUCGCGUAGAUACCAUUCUAGAGUAUUCUCAGAAUCAGCAAACAAAAUAUUAUGCCUUACAAAUCUUGGAGCAAGUUAUUAAGACACGGUGGAAAGUACUACCUAGAAAUCAAUGUGAGGGUAUAAAGAAAUAUAUUGUAGGCCUCAUUAUAAAAACAAGUAGUGAUCCAGAGACAAUGGAUACUUCUAAAGUUUACCUCAAUAAAUUGAAUAUGAUCUUAGUGCAGGUAUUAAAACGAGAAUGGCCAAAGAAUUGGGAAUCUUUCAUUAGUGACAUUGUUGGAGCAAGUAAAACAAAUGAAAGCCUCUGUCAAAAUAACAUGGCAAUUCUCAAACUUCUCUCAGAAGAAGUAUUUGACUUUUCUAGUGGUCAACUGACACAAACAAAAGCUAAACAUUUGAAGGAUACAAUGUGUAGUGAAUUUUCACAAAUUUUUCAACUUUGCCUGUUUGUAAUGGAUAAUUCACAGAAUGUACCAUUAGUAGCUGUUACUCUGGAAACGUUAUUAAGGUUUUUGAAUUGGAUACCACUUGGAUAUAUUUUUGAAACUAAACUGAUAAAUACUCUAAUAUUUAAGUUUCUAAAUGUACCAAUAUUCAGAAAUAUUACACUUAACUGUCUCACAGAAAUUGCUGCUGUGACAGUAACGAAUUAUGAUGACAUAUUUGUUGCAUUAUUCAUAAAUACGAUGCAACAGUUAGAACAAAUGCUUCCACUUGAAACUAACAUAAAAGAAGCAUAUGCAGUUGGACAAAAUCAAGAACAAAAUUUUAUACAAAAUUUAGCAAUGUUUCUUUGUACUUUUUUAAAAGAGCAUGGUCAAUUAAUAGAAAAGAAGCAAUUAAAUGAAACAUUAUUGAAAGCCUUGCAUUAUCUUGUGUUAAUCUCAGAGGUUGAAGAAGUUGAAAUAUUCAAGAUUUGUUUAGAGUAUUGGAAUGGUUUAUUAGCUGAUUUAUAUAAAGAUCAUCCAUUUGUGGCACCUUCACCUUUUAUGUCAAAGAAUAUGACAGUUUCACACAGAAGAGUCUUCUACUGUCCAGUUUUGACUAAAAUCAGAUAUAUAAUGAUCAGUAGAAUGGCUAAACCUGAAGAAGUUUUGGUGGUUGAAAAUGAACAUGGUGAAGUUGUACGAGAAUUCAUGAAAGAUACUGAUUCUAUUAAUUUGUAUAAAAAUAUGAGAGAAACUCUUGUAUAUCUUACUCAUUUGGACUAUGUGGAUACUGAACGUGUUAUGACAGAAAAACUUCAGAAUCAAGUUAAUGGUUCAGAAUGGUCUUGGAAGAAUCUCAACACGCUAUGCUGGGCAAUAGGUAGUAUCUCUGGUGCAAUGCAUGAAGAAGAUGAAAAAAGAUUUUUAGUAACUGUAAUUAAAGAUUUACUUGGAUUAUGUGAGCAAAAAAAGGGUAAAGACAACAAAGCUAUAAUUGCCAGUAAUAUUAUGUAUGUUGUUGGACAAUAUCCAAGAUUUCUUAGAGCUCAUUGGAAAUUUUUGAAAACUGUUGUCAAUAAACUCUUUGAAUUUAUGCAUGAGACCCAUGAUGGAGUACAGGAUAUGGCCUGUGACACAUUCAUUAAGAUAGCUUUAAAAUGCAGGCGACAUUUUGUUACAACACAGGUCGGUGAAGCAUUGCCAUUUAUUGAAGAAAUUCUUUCAACAAUUAGUAGCAUCAUUUGUGAUCUUCAGACACAGCAGGUACAUACAUUCUAUGAAGCUGUUGGAUAUAUGAUAAGUGCUCAAACAGAUACAUUAGUUCAAGAACAAUUAAUAGAAAAAUAUAUGCUUUUGCCCAAUCAAGUUUGGGAUGAUAUUAUAUGCCAGGCGUCAAAAAAUGUUGAUGUGUUAAAAGAUCCUGAAGCAGUUAAGCAACUUGCUAGUAUUUUGAAAACAAAUGUUAGAGCUUGUAAAGCUCUAGGACAUCCAUAUGUGAUACAAUUAGGAAGAAUAUAUCUGGAUAUGUUGAAUGUUUAUAAGGUUAUGAGUGAGAAUAUAAGUGCUGCAAUAGCUUUGAAUGGAGAGACAGUGAUGAAACAACCUUUAAUUAAGAGUAUGAGAGUAGUAAAAAAAGAAACAUUGAAACUAAUUUCAGAUUGGGUUAGCAAAUCUCUUGAUCCACAAAUGGUAUUAGAGAAUUUUAUACCACCAUUAUUGGACGCAGUAUUACUGGAUUAUCAAAAGACAAAUGUUCAUUGUGCUAGAGAACCAGAAGUACUCAGUGCUAUGGCUACUAUAGUAAAUAAAUUGGAAGCUCAUAUCACUAGUGAAGUACCUAAAAUAUUUGAUGCCGUAUUUGAAUGCACUUUAGAGAUGAUUAAUAAAGAUUUUGAAGAAUUUCCCGAACACAGAACAAAUUUCUUCCUCUUACUACAGGCAGUGAAUAAUCAUUGCUUCCCGGCAUUUUUAUCAAUUCCACCAGCACAGUUCAAGCUAGUGCUUGAUUCUAUAAUUUGGGCUUUUAAACAUACAAUGAGGAAUGUAGCAGAUACUGGAUUGCAAAUCUUGUAUCAGCUUUUACGAAACAUUGAGCAGCAUGAACAAGCUGCACAAAGCUUUUAUCAAACAUAUUUUACAGAUAUUCUUCAACAUGUAUUUAGUGUAGUAACAGAUACAUCGCAUACCGCAGGCCUUACAAUGCACGCUACUAUUUUGGCAUACAUGUUUACAUUAGUUGAGUUGGGAAGAAUACAGGUACCACUUGGACCAGUGCCUGAUAAUACAUUGUAUGUUCAAGAAUUUGUAGCGAGGUUACUCAGGACUGCUUUUCAACAUUUGACUGAUAAUCAGAUUAAAAUAACAGUGCAAGGUUUGUUUAAUCUUGAUCAAGACAUCCCAGCAUUCAAAGAGCAUUUGAGAGAUUUUCUUGUACAGAUAAGAGAGUACACUGGCGAAGAUGAUUCUGAUCUUUAUUUGGAAGAAAGAGAAACAGCUUUACGAUUGGCUCAGGAAGAGAAAAGGCGACAGCAAAUGGCAGUACCGGGUAUUCUGAAUCCACAUGAAAUGCCAGAAGAGAUGCAGGACUGAAUAAACUGUAAUCCUUGCCUGAUAUUUGUGCAAGACCAAACGACAAACACUCUGCUGUAGAAACUAUUAUAUCUGCAACUACUCUCACAACCACUACCACCACUACUACCACUAGUACAGCCACCAUCAAAGAUUUUAAAAGAAAAGGAGUUUCUGUUGUGGAAAAAGUGUGAAUGCCUGCUUAGCGAUGCUAUUUCAUGUAUAAGAAGAGGGUACUUCUCAGAAUAAAUUAUUGACUGAUGUUUGUGUAAGAGAUGACGUUCAUACAUCAACUGUCUAUAAUUAGUGGAUAGAAAGAACAUGGCAGAAUUUUGUAAUGGGAAGUUUGUUGCUAAGAGUGACAGAGUAAACAUUUUUUGUAUUAAUGCAACAGCACCGUACAUGUGACAACAAUGCAUUUAAUAGUGCUAUGUGAUAGUUGCAUCAUCUGGCUCAAUGAACACAGUAUACUAUACGACACUCUUACUUUUACAUAGGAGAAUUGUGAUGUACUGUGCUUUGCGAAACCGUAUUCUUUCUACAUUUUUGGUCGUAUGAGUCUGUUCUAAAAUAGAGAUUGAUAUGUAUGCGGAGUCAUGUGCGAUAAAUUCUGCUUAUACAUUGUCAAAUGAUUUUGUUACAAUAUAGACUCUACACACAGAGAAUUCUUUUUGAUUCAUUAUUAACUUAUGAUCGCGGAAGAAUUAAAAUUACAUCCUUUUAAUUUUAUAACUCAAAAUCUUAUCCUAAAAAUAUGAAAUUUUUUUUUCUUUUAAUUUCAAAUAUUAAUCAAUAAAUAUGAGCUUCUCCAUCACCUGCAGAAAUUACGACUUAUAUUUUGCUGAGUUACUCUCUUAUCUAUUUGCUGCUGACUCUAGUAUCUAGUAGAGUAAAACAUUAUCUUUAAUUUUUUUCCUUAUUUUUUUGUAUCGUUCCUUUUUUAUAAAGGCAGCUAAUUUGUCUAUUGAUUUAUAUGUGCAUAUUCUCUAAAGGAUAUUAGAUUUUAGGUAUGAUACAUAAUUUGAUAAAUACAUAAAAAAGUACAAUUGACAUACAUAAAAAAGAAAGAAAUAUAUAACUACCCCAAGAUAUUUACAUGUGAUAUACUAUUUCACGUGCAUAUAGUAAACACUCGGCCAUCAGAAAAUAACAAAAUGCACAGAGCUAUGAUAUCUGCAUGACUUAAUGCAUUUAGGACAAGUACAAGCAAACUUUAAGUACAAUAAAGGAUAAAAAAUGAUUUUGCAUUAAAUAGUAUCGUCGUAGCAGGCUUUUGAGGUAACAUAAAUGUCCUAGAUGAAUGUGUGUUUUUAUCUGCGUGCAGUUGAACUAUAAUGCUAUUAUAGUGCAACAUAGUAAAGUGACGUUGUACUGUAAUAUUAUAAUACUAUUAUGCUGUAUAUAUGAUCCACUGCGGGCCGUGAAGUGGCAUCUUGUAAAUGAAAAUUAAUCACGAAAAUAUUAGCAUUUGUUUAUGCUCCACUCUUGCUCAAUUCAUUGUAUAUUUAAAAACUUAAAAAUCGAUGAUUUUAAAGAUAUCCAAGUAAAGCUGUUCCACUUAUUAUUACGUUCCACUUAAUAUUGUAAGUUACAAAAUUGCAACCAUCUUUAAACUAUUAAAGGGUAAUAUUAGCUGGAAGGUGACGUUUAUAAAGUGUACAAUAUAUGAAUCAAAAUUGAUAAAAUAUUUCUUUAAUAAUUAAUAUGCAACGUAUGAUAUUUAUCUUACUAAAUUACAUUUCUUAAGUUCAUUUAAUAUCGGGGCCAUUAAACAAUAGGUAUUCGAUCUGAUUCAGUUAGUUUCAAUAAUAAGUAGUACUGUACCUAAUAUUCAAUCUUAAUUAAAAUAUGAAGUCUUUAUCCUUUUUUUUAUGUUAAGGGAACGUUUAUAGAUAUUUGAAUGCUCGUAACAGACAAAAGUUUUUCUUAAGAGAGAGAGAGAAAGAGAGAGAGAGGGGGAGAGAAAGAGAGAGAGAGAGAGAGAGAGAGAGAGAGAGAGAGAGAGAGAGAGAGAGUGAGAAGUGGGGUUUUAGAGAGUACAUAUAACAAGCAUUAAUUAGAUUUCCAAAGUAAAUAUAAACGCAUCAAUUAUCAUUUUCAUUGUGUAAAAUUUAAAUAACGAGAAAGUAUAAAUAUUUUCUAUAAAUACUACACACUUUUAUAAUGUGAUGUAGGAUUGUAUGAAGUCGGUACUUUUGAUGAAUGUUUCAACGUUCUUAUGCUUUUUAUAUGAUCUAACACCUUCUAUGUGAUUCUGGUGUGACUGCAUAAUAUUUCAAUGUCUUACAUAAAUUCAA